RNAcentral lists this ribosomal RNA (431 nucleotides) under uncultured bacterium. RNAcentral's name for it is "partial 16S ribosomal RNA". It matches the Rfam family "Bacterial small subunit ribosomal RNA", at positions 29 to 507 of the family's 1533-position model. The record is from RNAcentral.
AACGAACGCUGGCGGCAGGCUUAACACAUGCAAGUCGAACGCCCCGCAAGGGGAGUGGCAGACGGGUGAGUAACGCGUGGGAACAUACCCUUUUCUACGGAAUAGCUCUGGGAAACUGGAAUUAAUACCGUAUACGCCCUACGGGGGAAAGAUUUAUCGGGGAAGGAUUGGCCCGCGUUGGAUUAGCUAGUUGGUGGGGUAAAGGCCUACCAAGGCGACGAUCCAUAGCUGGUCUGAGAGGAUGAUCAGCCACAUUGGGACUGAGACACGGCCCAAACUCCUACGGGAGGCAGCAGUGGGGAAUAUUGGACCAUGGGCGCAAGCCUGAUCCAGCCAUGCCGCGUGAGUGAUGAAGGCCUUAGGGUUGUAAAGCUCUUUCACCGAUGAAGAUAAUGACGGUAGUCGGAGAAGAAGCCCCGGCUAACUUCGUG